GGGCCCGUAGUCUAGGUGGUUAGGACGCCGCCCUCACACGGCGGAGGUCGCCGGUUCGAGUCCGGCCGGGCCCA
Transfer RNA from Caldisphaera lagunensis DSM 15908, 74 nucleotides. It matches the Rfam family "tRNA". From Rfam's summary of the family: Transfer RNA (tRNA) molecules are approximately 80 nucleotides in length. Their secondary structure includes four short double-helical elements and three loops (D, anti-codon, and T loops). The record is from Rfam. Lineage: Archaea; Thermoproteati; Thermoproteota; Thermoprotei; Acidilobales; Acidilobaceae.